AGAGUGUUUGAUAAAUUUUUCAUUCAUAUUGAUCUCAAAUAUAUUUAUAUAAUUAAACUUUUCGGAGACAUUAAGGGCAUGUUUGUUUACAUGGAAGUGAGGUGGAAGUGAGAGGGAGAAGGUGAUUUCCGGUAAAAAUUAAUCGCUUCCGUUGUUUGGUUUGUUGUAAAAAAGGUUACAGUCGAAACUCCAGUUAACCUAAAAUGACGUAAUUAACUUUGGCUAAAGGGUAUAUUUAUUUCACAUAAACUGGACUUUGGGUUAAAAUGGACAUUGGACUGAAGUAGAGUUUGGUAAAAAUUAUUUCUUUCCCGCUGUUUGUUUGUAGUUAUGAAAGUGAAAUUUUAUUCAUUCUACUCUUUGUUUGGUAGGAAGUGUGUGAUAUAAAAUUAUAAUUUAUAUAUAAAUAAUAAAUAUUUUAAUAAGUAAAAAUAAUAUAAUUAUAUUUUUAUAUAAUUAAAAUUUAAUUUAAAACAACUAAAUUAUUUUUAUACAUAAAUUAUGAUAAUAUAAUAAUAAAAUUAUAAAAGUAAAAAAUACUAAUACUUAAUUAAUCAAUUUAUAUCAUAUUUUAAUUGUACAAACUAAAUAAAAAAAAAUAAAACUUAACUAAUCAAUUUUUAUCAUAUUUUAAAUAUACCAACCAAAUAAAAGAGUAAUUAGUAAUAUAAUUAAAUAUAUUAAAUAUAACUAUCUUAUCCUAUUAUAUUAUUUUAUUAUUUUUUCUUCACCUUUCUUCACUAGAAUUUUUUUCGAUUGAUCAUGCGCCGAAGUCAAUUAUAUUGUUUGAGAUUAACUCGAGUUUCGACCGUAAUUUUUUUGCAGCGAACCAAACAACGGAAGUGGCAGUUUAUGAUGAAAAUGACUUUCUCUUCUCCACUUUCACUUUACUUCCACCCAAACAAACAUGCCCAAUUAUAGGCCGAAACUAAUUACGGUAAAGAAAGAUGAAGAAAAAAUAAUAAAAUAAUAUACUAAAUAAAGAUAGUUAUAUUUAAUUAUAGGACUAUUUUUUUUAAAAAAAUUUAUUUGGCAUAUUUACAAUAUAAUAAGAAUUUACAUAAAGAUAAAAAAACUUUAUUGAUUUAUUAUUAAUAUUCUUCAACUUUCAUUCUUUUCAUUUUCUUGCAAUAUUCUUCAACUUUCAUUCUUUUCAUUUUCUUGCUUAUAUUAUAUUCAAAAUGAUUUUCU
This 1191-nucleotide long non-coding RNA is filed under the name Ananas comosus (pineapple). RNAcentral describes it as "long non-coding RNA (ACOM_LNC012763)". The record is from RNAcentral. Lineage: Eukaryota; Viridiplantae; Streptophyta; Magnoliopsida; Poales; Bromeliaceae.